This is a long non-coding RNA of Erpetoichthys calabaricus (reedfish), 457 nucleotides long. RefSeq lists it as uncharacterized. Lineage: Eukaryota; Metazoa; Chordata; Cladistia; Polypteriformes; Polypteridae. The record is from RefSeq and is a predicted model, not a curated record. The transcript is spliced from 2 exons.
GGUCCGCCUUACUUGUCUGAACUUAUCAUGACUUACAAACCAGAGCGCACAUUAAGUUCUCAAGAUGCUGGUCUGCUUAUGAUUCCAAGGAUUAAUAAAAUAACAGUGGGAGGUUGAGCUUUUAGUUACAGGGCCCCUAAACUGUGGAAUGGUCUGCCUGCUACUGUAAGAGAUUCCCCUUCAGUCUCAGCUUUUUAAUCCCGGUUGAAGACUCACUACUUUGGUUUAGCAUAUCCUGUCUAGAGUUGCUGAUUAACUGUACAGACUGCAUCUCUGUUGUUAGCCAUUAGCACUAAAAUAUAAGUAACAUGAUUGUUAUAAUUUGUUACUAACCCUCACCUAUUCUGUUUCUCUUCUCGGUACUCAAAUGUGGCACUUGGUGCCACGGCCCACUUGCCAAUUUAUUUGCCUGCCUAUGGUAUAGUCAUCUCUGAUGGAGGAUCACAGGAAUCAUCGG